GGGGCGCCAAGUUCGUCCGGCGGAAAAAGGCCACAAAAACGGGUGGGCUAUAGCCUUGGGGGGUGGGGCUGGCCAUCUUCAUCCGCCGGACUCGGAAUGCCGCGAGACUUUGCGAGGGAUCUCUAUGUGCCAUAAAUAAUCCACGGGCAAAGCCGCGCCUAAAAAUAACCACCCGAAGGCCGGGGCGCCAAGUUCGUCCAGCCGAAAAAGGCCACAAAAAUGGGUGGGCUAUAGCCUUGGGGGGUGGGGCUGGCCAACUUCGUCUGCCGGACUCGGAAUGCCGCGAGACUUUGCGAGGGGCCUCCAUGUCCCAAAAAUAGGCCGCGGGCAAAGCCGCGCCCAAAAAUAACCACCCGAAGGCCGGGUCUCCAAGUUCGUCCAGCGGAAAAAGGCCACAUAAACGGGUGGGCUAUAGCCUUGGGGGGUGGGGCUGGCAGACUUCGUCCGCCGGACUCAGAAUGCCGCGAGACUUUGCGACGGGCCUCCGUGUGCCAAAAAUAGGCUGCGGGCAAAGCCGCGCCCAAAAAGAACCGCCCGAAGGCCGGGGCGCCAAGUUCGUCCGGCGGAAAAAGGCCACAAAAACGGGUGGGCUAUAGCCUUGGGGGGUGGGGCUGGCCAUCUUCGUCCGCCGGACUCGGAAUGCCACGAGACUUUGCGAGGGGCCUCCAUGUGCCAAAAAUAGGCCGCGGGCAAAGCCGCGCCCAAAAAUAACGGCCUGAAGGCCGGGGCUCCAAGUUCGUCCAGCGGAAAAAGGCCACAAAAACGGGUGGGCUAUAGCCUUGGGGGGUUGGGCUGGCCAACUUCGUCCGCCGGACUCGGAAUGCCGCGAGACUUUGCGAGGGGCCUCCGUGUGCCAAAAAUAGGCCGCGCCCAAAAAUAACCGCCCGAAGGCCGGGGCGCCAAGUUCGUCCGGCGGAAAAAGGCCACAAAAACGGGUGGGCUAUAGCCUUGGGGGGUGGGGCUGGCCAACUUCGUCCGCCCAACUCAGAAUGCCGCGAGACUUUGCGAGGGGCCUCCGUGUACCCAAAAUAGGCCGCGGACAAAGCCGCGCCCAAAAAUAACCGCCCGAAGGUCGGGGAGCCAAGUUCGUCCAGCGGAAAAAGGCCACAAAAACGGGUGGGCUAUAGCCUUGGGGGGUGGGGCUGGCCCACUUCGUCCGCCGGACUUAGAAUGCCGCGAGACUUUGCGACGGGCCCUCGUGUGCCAAAAUAGGCUGCGGACAAAGCCGCGCCCAAAAAUAACCGCCCGAAGGCCGGGGCGCCAAGUUCGUCCAGCGGAAAAAAGGCCACAAACACGGGUGGGCUAUAGCCUUGGGGGGUGGGGCAAGCCGACUUCGUCCGCCGGACUCAGAAUGCCGCGAGACUUUGUAACGGUCCUCCGUGUGCCAAAAAUAGGCCGCGGGCAAAGCCGCGCCCAAAAAUAACCGCCCGAAGUCCGGGGCGCCAAGUUCGUCCAGCGGAAAAAGGCCACAAAAACGGGUGGGCUAUAGCCUUGGGCGGUGGGGCUGGCCAACUUCGUCCACCGGACUCAGAAUGCCGCGAGACUUUGCGAGGGGCCUCCUUGUACCAAAAAUAGGCCGCGGGCAAAGCCGCGUCCAAAAAUAAACGCCCGAAGGCCGGGGAGCCAAGUUCGUCCAGCGGAAAAAGGCCACAAAAACGGGUGGGCUAUAGCCUUGGGGGGUGCGGCUGGCCCACUUCGUCCGCCGGACUAGGAAUGCCGCGAGACUUUGCGAGGGCCUCCGUGUGCCAAAAAUAAGCCACGGGCAAAGUCGCGCCAAAAAGUAACCGCCUGAACGCCGGGGCGCCAAGUUCGUCCAGCGGAAAAAGGCCACAAAAACGGGUGGACUAUAACCUUGGGGGGUGGGGCGGGCCGACUUCGUCCGCCGGACUCGGAAUGCUGCGAGACUUUGCGAGGGGCCUCCAUGUGCGAAAAAUAGGCCGCGGGCAAAGCCGCGC
This 1955-nucleotide long non-coding RNA is filed under the name Citrus x clementina. Its description in RNAcentral is "Citrus clementina (C. clementina) long non-coding RNA (CCLE_LNC006372)". The record is from RNAcentral. Lineage: Eukaryota; Viridiplantae; Streptophyta; Magnoliopsida; Sapindales; Rutaceae.